UGAUCGGGCAAAAGAAACGGAAAGAUACGAACAAAAGCAGUCGAACACGGAUGAAUGGGAGAUGCGAAGGAACAAUCGGCGGGCCAGAAGGGAGCGCGAACGAAGAUGAUGAAAGGGAAGCACGAAGGCUUUGCAGGCGGCACGAGGUUUCAGUGAUCGAUUGCGAUAAGGAUCGCCGUCUUCGGGGUUCAACGAGACUGAAAGGGGAGAAGCAGCGAAGCUGCUGUGGUCUCGGUGGAUGCAGCGAGGAGCUGAUCAAGCAGCUUCUCGGAUGCUUGCUUCAGUCUCGGUAGCGGGUUGCGAAGGAAAUGCGAGGAAGAUGUACGAGGGGCGAGGGUUGGUUCGACUGAAGCGACAGAAACCGCAGUAGGGUGUUAGUCGGCAAUUUUGCGACGGGGAAAAAGGGAAGUGCGAUGAGGUGUUUUGCUCCAAUCGGUAGCAGGAAGGAAUGAAAAAGAAUGAUGGUGAGGAGGCUGUUUUGCUGCUUGAAAUCAAAUGGAAGAAGAAGAAACGAGGCUGCGAUCGUUACAAGGAUAGAGAAGGGCAACAACCUUCUUCUUUGGCUGAAGAUCCAGAAACGGUAAAGAAAUGGUAGAAGAUAUAUCUUUUUGUAUUAUUAUUAUUAUUAUUAUUAUUAUUUAUAAAAACUGAUUUGAUUUUGAUUGAGUUUGAGUGUAGCCAAGUAAGGAGUCUUGCAAGUAAUAUUUUGUGUAGAUGUACACUCCAAAAUUGUAGCAUUGAUUGGUAAAGUGUAUAAGUUUCAUUUUGUUUUGGCUGUGAAUUUAAGAGGUGUAUUUGAUGUUAAAUUUGCAAGCAAUGUAUUGAUUUUAUCAUUCAUGUAUUUAUGUGAUGUAUUGGUUUAAUUA
Lactuca sativa (garden lettuce) is the source of this 866-nucleotide non-coding RNA. The record is from RefSeq and is a predicted model, not a curated record. Lineage: Eukaryota; Viridiplantae; Streptophyta; Magnoliopsida; Asterales; Asteraceae.